UGCACAGAUUCACAGUCGAGUUGAAAUCGAU
Molecule: non-coding RNA, 31 nt
Filed under: Rattus norvegicus (Norway rat)
Lineage: Eukaryota; Metazoa; Chordata; Mammalia; Rodentia; Muridae
Source: RNAcentral